Ruminococcus sp. DSM 100440 is the source of this 76-nucleotide non-coding RNA. NCBI's taxonomy places the organism in Bacteria, Bacillati, Bacillota, Clostridia, Eubacteriales, Oscillospiraceae. The record is from Rfam.
CGUAGUAACAACGAACUGUGAGAAGUCAGCAGAAGCCAUAGUAGGUAAAGCCCUGAAAUGGGAGUUGCUGAAGGGC